CCUUCGAUAGCUCAGUAGGUACUGCGGUGGACUGUAGUUGCAAUUUGAAAAAAAAAAAACCAAAGGUCGCUGGUUCAAAUCCGGCUCGAAGGA
This 93-nucleotide transfer RNA is filed under the name Lucilia cuprina (Australian sheep blowfly). It matches the Rfam family "tRNA". Rfam says of the family: Transfer RNA (tRNA) molecules are approximately 80 nucleotides in length. Their secondary structure includes four short double-helical elements and three loops (D, anti-codon, and T loops). Further hydrogen bonds mediate the characteristic L-shaped molecular structure. tRNAs have two regions of fundamental functional importance: the anti-codon, which is responsible for specific mRNA codon recognition, and the 3' end, to which the tRNAs corresponding amino acid is attached (by aminoacyl-tRNA synthetases). tRNAs cope with the degeneracy of the genetic code in two manners: having more than one tRNA (with a specific anti-codon) for a particular amino acid; and 'wobble' base-pairing, i.e. permitting non-standard base-pairing at the 3rd anti-codon position. Lineage: Eukaryota; Metazoa; Arthropoda; Insecta; Diptera; Calliphoridae. The record is from Rfam by way of RNAcentral.